Molecule: small RNA, 125 nt
Filed under: Marmota monax (woodchuck)
Lineage: Eukaryota; Metazoa; Chordata; Mammalia; Rodentia; Sciuridae
Source: RNAcentral
GCCAGGUAUGGUGGCGCACACCUGUAAUCCCAGCAGCUUGGGAGGCUGAAGCAGGAGAAUCACAAGUUCAAAGCCAGCCUCAGCAAAAGUGAGGGGCUAAGCAACUCAGUGAGACCCUGUCUCUA